Molecule: ribosomal RNA, 337 nt
Filed under: Aeromonas salmonicida subsp. salmonicida 01-B526
Lineage: Bacteria; Pseudomonadati; Pseudomonadota; Gammaproteobacteria; Aeromonadales; Aeromonadaceae
Description: bacterial SSU rRNA
Rfam family: Bacterial small subunit ribosomal RNA
Source: RNAcentral
ACCUGGCGACGAGUGGCGAACGGGUGAGUAAUAUAUCGGAACGUGCCCAAUAGUGGGGGAUAGCCCGGCGAAAGCCGGAUUAAUACCGCAUGAGACCUGAGGGUGAAAGCGGGGGAUCGCAAGACCUCGCGCUAUUGGAGCGGCCGAUAUCAGAUUAGGUAGUUGGUGGGGUAAAAAGCCUACCAAGCCGACGAUCUGUAGCUGGUCUGAGAGGAUGAUCAGCCACAUUGGGACUGAGACACGGCCCAAACUCCUACGGGAGGCAGCAGUGGGGAAUAUUGGACAAUGGGCGCAAGCCUGAUCCAGCAAUGCCGCGUGCGGGAAGAAGGCCUCGGUU